This 446-nucleotide ribosomal RNA is filed under the name uncultured bacterium. RNAcentral's name for it is "bacterial SSU rRNA". It matches the Rfam family "Bacterial small subunit ribosomal RNA", at positions 355 to 825 of the family's 1533-position model. The record is from RNAcentral.
UCGGGAAUUUUGGGCAAUGGGCGAAAGCCUGACCCAGCAACGCCGCGUGAAGGAUGAAGUAUUUCGGUAUGUAAACUUCGAAAGAAUAGGAAGAAUAAAUGACGGUACUAUUUAUAAGGUCCGGCUAACUACGUGCCAGCAGCCGCGGUAAUACGUAGGGACCAAGCGUUGUUCGGAUUUACUGGGCGUAAAGCGUGCGCAGGCGGUUGUGUAAGUCAGAUGUGAAAUCCCCGGGCUCAACCUGGGAAUUGCAUUUGAGACUGCACGGCUAGAGUGUGUCAGAGGGGGGUAGAAUUCCACGUGUAGCAGUGAAAUGCGUAGAUAUGUGGAGGAAUACCGAUGGCGAAGGCAGCCCCCUGGGAUAACACUGACGCUCAUGCACGAAAGCGUGGGGAGCAAACAGGAUUAGAUACCCCGUAGUCCCUGAGCGGGCUGGCAAGGCGCAU